AGGACGAACGCUGGCGGCGUGCCUAACACAUGCAAGUCGAGCGAGGAGAUUCCUCGGGAUGAUCCUAGCGGCGGACGGGUGAGUAACACGUGGGCAACCUGCCUCAUAGAGAGGAAUAGCCUUCCGAAAGGGAGAUUAAUACCUCAUAACAUUGCAGUUUCGCAUGGAACAGCAAUUAAAGGAGUAAUCCGCUAUGAGAUGGGCCCCGCGGCGCAUUAGCUAGUUGGUGAGGUAAUGGCUCACCAAGGCGACGAUGCGUAGCCGACCUGAGAGGGUGAUCGGCCACAUUGGGACUGAGACACGGCCCAGACUCCUACGGGAGGCAGCAGUGGGGAAUAUUGCACAAUGGGGGAAACCCUGAUGCAGCAACGCCGCGUGAGUGAUGACGGCCUUCGGGUUGUAAAGCUCUGUCUUCAGGGACGAUAAUGACGGUACCUGAGGAGGAAGCCACGGCUAACUACGUGCCAGCCGCCGC
Molecule: ribosomal RNA, 475 nt
Filed under: uncultured bacterium
Lineage: Bacteria
Description: bacterial SSU rRNA
Rfam family: Bacterial small subunit ribosomal RNA
Source: RNAcentral